RNAcentral lists this ribosomal RNA (270 nucleotides) under Octolasion cyaneum. RNAcentral describes it as "partial 16S ribosomal RNA". It matches the Rfam family "Bacterial large subunit ribosomal RNA", at positions 2481 to 2827 of the family's 2925-position model. Lineage: Eukaryota; Metazoa; Annelida; Clitellata; Crassiclitellata; Lumbricidae. The record is from RNAcentral.
GYUAAUCCCAYUAAAGAGUCCUUAUCAAUAGUGGGGUUUGGCACCUCGAUGUUGGCUUAGGGAAUCUAUGUGGCGCAAAAGUCACAUAAAGAUGGUUUGUUCAACCAAAAAUACCCUACAUGAGCUGAGUUCAGACCGGCGUAAGCCAGGUUAGCUUCUAUCCUCGACAAAAAAACCUACUUAUAGUACGAAAGGACCUAAGUAUGGAUAACAUUUAUAUUCUAUGAAUCCAUAUAAAUUAGAUUUAAUUAUAUACGAACAUACACUAUG